RNAcentral lists this transfer RNA (76 nucleotides) under bacterium. RNAcentral describes it as "tRNA-Thr". It matches the Rfam family "tRNA". From Rfam's summary of the family: Transfer RNA (tRNA) molecules are approximately 80 nucleotides in length. Their secondary structure includes four short double-helical elements and three loops (D, anti-codon, and T loops). Further hydrogen bonds mediate the characteristic L-shaped molecular structure. tRNAs have two regions of fundamental functional importance: the anti-codon, which is responsible for specific mRNA codon recognition, and the 3' end, to which the tRNAs corresponding amino acid is attached (by aminoacyl-tRNA synthetases). tRNAs cope with the degeneracy of the genetic code in two manners: having more than one tRNA (with a specific anti-codon) for a particular amino acid; and 'wobble' base-pairing, i.e. permitting non-standard base-pairing at the 3rd anti-codon position. RNAcentral also lists the same sequence under 1 other name. The record is from RNAcentral.
GCCGAGAUAGCUCAGCUGGUAGAGCACUUCAGUGGUAAUGAAGAGGUCCGGGGUUCGAAUCCCCGUCUCGGCUCCA